CACUUACAGCAGCGGAGACAGCAGUUUGCCCAAGCACACCAAGCGCUCUGACCACCAGGCUUUCGCUGUGCUGACAAAAAGAUGAGACGUUCAAACUUUUAUCGGUGUUAAGAAGAACCACAGGAGAGAAAUGACUCAAGAGUUUCCCAGGGAAAAGAAAAAUAAAUCACCAGGUCUGCCCGGCCAUGAACUGUUAAGAGAUGUUGUACAGAACACAAUAUCUUGAUACUAGCACCAGAUUUGUUUGUUUGCCCUCCUGGACCGGGACAGCGUGGUAUGCGCCUGCCUUCUUUGGGCUAGGAAAACUGUGUGAGUCAUACCAUGUUCAAAGUCUGCCUGGAGACAGACCAGCACUGAACCGAUGCCAUUUUCACAGGAGGUUCCCAUGUGCCAGCAGUGGGAAGAGCGUUCCUGAGCUGAAGAGGAGCGGGGAAGGCUUCUGCACUCACCCGCUGACAGCUUCCCAGCCACCAUCAUGAGAAAUGCCAGCGCUCAGAGUAGCUGUUUGCUUCCUUCCUCCUUUACAGCCCAUCUGAUGUCCUGCUGCUGCCUCGUAUUCAGCCUCAUGUCUUAUCUACACCGCCACACUGCUCGUUUGCUCUGUGGGUCAUCAGGCUGAGCCCGGCUCCUCUUACCAGCACUGUGAGCGUGGCUUCUCCUGGGGAGGUUCUUUAACCUGUCUCAGCUCCCAGCUUUUAUUUGGGGUUGGCAACUGCUGCCUGGUCCGCAGACAGCCUGGGACGGCAGGGAACCAUGGCUAGUCCUCACACCGGCUGCUCCAGCCGACCUGGCACUGGGCAGGGCUUUGACUCUGCUUGUGGGCUCUGCUUAUGAUCUUAUUUACAUUUGCACUGGAAAUGCAAGGCUUCUCCACCCUGGCCUCAGCUUUCCCCGCUGACUGCAAGUAUAUGAAAAGCGAACGUUGAUACUCCUAAUGACGUUGUCCCACACCUGAGGGCUGACAGGGGUGUGCUUCUGCACAUCAGGAUCCUGCUCACAGGCCUGGAGGCCAAACAGGGGGAAGGUUCAGCUCAUUAAAGUCCGUGUUAAUUGCAUAAACGCACAGCGAUUUUCCUUUCUGAGAAGCUAGCUACCAC
This 1097-nucleotide long non-coding RNA is filed under the name Gallus gallus (chicken). The record is from RNAcentral. Lineage: Eukaryota; Metazoa; Chordata; Aves; Galliformes; Phasianidae.